Molecule: long non-coding RNA, 1268 nt
Organism: Ctenocephalides felis (cat flea)
Lineage: Eukaryota; Metazoa; Arthropoda; Insecta; Siphonaptera; Pulicidae
Exons: 3
Source: RefSeq, a predicted model, not a curated record
CAUUUCCGCCUAGACAGAGGACCCCUAGAAGACAACACAAGGCUCAUUCCAUGGCCGGUAAUCUCGGAACAAACGUCUGUAACCCGAGUUUAGUUAGAGCCCCUGCCGCCGGUCGCGCUUGUUUUUUUUUUUUUAUUUUUUUUUCACUUUGAAAUCGAAUUUGACAUAUGACAGAUACUUAAAUUAAACAUGGCGUCCAUUGUAAUAAAUUUUUCAUGGAGAGAUAACCUAGACAAUAUAAUAAAUGCUUGUUAGAGUAAAAAACAAAUAAGCUGUCGAAGUGCAUUGUUUAACGAAGAAGAAAUACCAAGAAAAAUGCAUGUAUUAUGUAGUUCCAGCGAGAAACGACGAAGUAAAAGUAAAAUAAGUAAUAAUAUUUGCCGGCUUUCAAUCUAAUUUAAUAAUUCAGAAAUAAUUGAGACAUUUAACUAUAUCAAUACUAGAAAUUUUAAGGUUAUAAAUAGACAGAGAGAAUUCCUGUCAGCUCUCUGAAAGCAGUAUAAAAGGAAAAUACGUUCAAAUGUAAAAUGUUUAGACGGUUUACUAAACACAUUCACAAGUGUACAAGUAUUGAUAUGAGAUGAAUGAAUACACAGGAAAAAACAAUAAGAAUGAAGUCUGAAAUGUGCUGAAAUCUUUGCUGAUCUCCCACUAAUAUUGAACAGUACGACUCGUAAUUAUAUAUUAAGUCAGUUUGGAGAACAUACUAAAAACACUAAUGAUAUAAUCGUAAGUGAAAGGAAAUUCUCAAUAAAUGGUGAAAUUCUAGCUAGUGCAAAGGUUAAUUUAGGUUUGGCUAUGUCACAGGAAAAGUUUUUAAGUAUUAAUAAUUUCAUUUUGAUAUUACAAGAAAUAUUAUUAUCUGUGUUGUUUAAUGAUGAUAAAGGGAAUCACAUUGUAUAGAUUUUCAGGAACUGUCAAAUGACAGGCAAAGUAUAAUCAUGAUUAAUGAUAAAAUUCUAAAAAGCAAAGGGAUAAAACACCCUUAAUGUGCACUUGCUUAUUGCAUUUGACUAUUCUGAAAGAGAUGUCAAUAGCUUUACUCUAAAAUGUCUUAUUGUAGAUGCUAUAAGAAAACUAUUAAGUACUGUUAUAAUAAUAUCAAUGAUUGUUGUUUUUCUUUAAGACAAUGAUAAUAAUGACAUUUUGAACAAACAUUUGAAUGCACAUUAACAAUAGCGCAGAAAAGAUUCCCAAAUAGAGACUGUACAUCAUAGAUAUUAUGUAACUUAAUGUUAAUCAAAAUAAAUAUAUAUGUAAAUAUAUAU